AUCGAUCUCUUUCUUACAACAAUUCAGUCAUACCAAUAACUGCUAUUUCUACCAAUAUAUUCACCCUCAUAAUCUCGAACUGUAAUACUAUGCCUUCAUAGCUUUCAGUACACAAUUACUCUCAUUCUAAUCACUGGAAUUCUUUACACAAAAUUGCCAUUCACAUUAUGGUGUUUCACACAAACACAAACUCAUUCUCUCUGCUGAACUACAAUCAGAUUUCAGCAUUCAAUCUUUCUUCUUCUCAAAUAAUACCAAUCUCAUUUCCAUUCCAUAAUUCACUUCACAAUAUUCAGAAACUCUCAAUCCUCUUAUU
RNAcentral lists this long non-coding RNA (316 nucleotides) under Physcomitrium patens. Its description in RNAcentral is "long non-coding RNA (PPAT_LNC003480)". Lineage: Eukaryota; Viridiplantae; Streptophyta; Bryopsida; Funariales; Funariaceae. The record is from RNAcentral.